AUUGAACGCUGGCGGCAGGCCUAACACAUGCAAGUCGAGCGGAUGAAGGGAGCUUGCUCCUGGAUUCAGCGGCGGACGGGUGAGUAAUGCCUAGGAGUCAGCCUGGUAGUGGUUGAUAACGUCCGGAAACGACCGCUAAUACCGCAUACGUCCUGAUGGAGCAGGUUGGGGAGCUUCGGACCUUACGCUAUCAGAUGAGCCUAGGUCGGAUUAGCUAGUUGGUGGGGUAAAGGGCUACCAAGGCGAGGAUCCGUAACUGGUCGGAGAGGAUGAUCAGUCACCCUGGAACUGAGACACGGUCAAGAGUACUACGGGACGCAGCAGUGGGGAAUAUUGGACAGUAGGCGAAAGCCUGAUCCAGCGAGGGCGAGUGUGUGAAGAAGGUCUUCCGUUCGUAAAGAACGUUAUGUUGGGAGGAAGGGCAGUAAGUUGAUACCUUGCUGUAGUGACGUUAACAAGAGAAGAAGCACCGGCUAACUUCGUG
This 484-nucleotide ribosomal RNA is filed under the name uncultured bacterium. Its description in RNAcentral is "partial 16S ribosomal RNA". It matches the Rfam family "Bacterial small subunit ribosomal RNA", at positions 30 to 507 of the family's 1533-position model. The record is from RNAcentral.